AGUUCGUUACCAGGCUUCCAGAUCGCAGUUUCUCAUGUGCUGAGGAUGUGACCACAAAACAUUUCCCCACCAAGUUUUCUUUCUGCUAUGUUGCUAGCAUUCAGCCUUUUGAGAACAUUA
Molecule: small nucleolar RNA, 120 nt
Organism: Phyllostomus hastatus (greater spear-nosed bat)
Lineage: Eukaryota; Metazoa; Chordata; Mammalia; Chiroptera; Phyllostomidae
Product: small nucleolar RNA SNORA32
Exons: 1
Source: RefSeq, a predicted model, not a curated record